This 1091-nucleotide long non-coding RNA is filed under the name Triticum aestivum (bread wheat). Its description in RNAcentral is "long non-coding RNA (TAES_LNC023392)". Lineage: Eukaryota; Viridiplantae; Streptophyta; Magnoliopsida; Poales; Poaceae. The record is from RNAcentral.
GCAGUAGCAUGUCGGUGGUUGUUCUAUCGCGGAAAUCUUCUAUUAGUAACAAGCGGGGAAGAGCUGAGACUAUGGCCCCGUUCGGAUCUUCUCCUGCUCCUAGCUUCCUCGGCUCCGCGCUGGAGCCAGCCCCAACGCCACGGCUCCGAGAAGACCGCUUCGUGGAGCGAAGUCCCCUCGUAGUGCAAAAAAGAGAAGAUGGUCGAGCCCCGCUCUCAAAAAUCGAAGGAGAUAGAGUUGGGGAUUAUUACACGAUAUGCCACCGCCAAGUGACCAGGGGGCAGCGUACCGGUUCGCUCGACUUGUUCUUUCCCCUCGAGACGUUGCUAUUCCAUUGAAACCUGGCCUGCCUUUCCUUUGAACGGGCCUAAAGCAAGUUUAUUGGGCUAUCAGCCCAACUAACCAACUGGAAGUGGAAGCUGGCCUCCCGAACGGUUUCUCGUGAGCCAGGUUUUGUACGAGAAGUAGGAUUUGGUAGGAGGAGCGGAAGCGGGAAAUACACUUUGGUUCCUGGGUGUAUAUACACCCUAUAUGGGAAUUUAUUAUUAUUAUUUUAAUAAAAAGUCAAAAUAGGUAAGAACUAUUUUGACAAAACACUUGACUUACUUUUGCACUAGUAAAUAAAUCUGGAUGAAAAAAAACAAAAGUUGACCUCACAGCAAAAAAGACAAAAUUUAUUUGCUAUUAUAGGUCACUAUUCACACUAUUUUAGCCAAAAAAUUGUCUUUUUUGAAAAGAAGUCAAAGGGAUUUUUUUUGUGGAUUUAUUUUCUCACGAGUACAAUAGAAGGUCAAGUUUAUUUCAGAAAUAUUUUCAGGAAAUUUUGACUUUUUGUUGAAUUACUAUUUUUUUUACAUAUAGGAUGCAUAUGUCCCCCAUAGACCAAAAGUUCCCCUCCGAGCGGAUGCUGGCUAUUUGGAGAAGUUGGACAACAUCCGAACGGGGCCUAUGUGUGUUAUAAAUAAAUGCGCAACAAUGUGUACUCACACUGUUUAUGAAGAUUAAGUGAUGCUUUAUGGUUGGAAAAUUUUGUUGUGCCUGUUAGCAAAUUGCUUGCCUAAUUCAUAUAUCCAAAUUGUAGUGUAUUUUAA